GAAAGCCGGGAGCAGAGGAAUUAGCGAAACAAAAGGAAUCAUGGCGGAGUGCUUCUGCUGGGCACCUUCCAGCAGGCUGUGUGGAUUAUGGACUAAAAAGCCUCCCCCAGGAGGUAGCAGGAACGUGGACACGGCUGGGGGACAGCAGCGAGGAGGUGGUGGAGGGAAACAGGAAACGGAGUACUACUUGGUGGAAAUACGGAUGAUCAGUGCACAUGGACGUGGCAUUCAAGAAUCUGUUUCUUCAAGUCAGGGAGAUUUUUUGUAAAAGCAUGGAUAUUCCUUCCAAAAGAGGAACUUAGCAGCUGGUAAUGAGAACCUUGCCUGAGGUUCAGAGGAGAAAGAAAAAGCAUGAAGCAUCAGGAAGAACCAGGAAGACGGAUACAGUAACUGGUACCAACAACUUGGGCAGAUCUCUCAAAAGCAGCAGAUGAGCCACACUUCCAUAUCCUUUGAGAUGUAUGUCAGAGCAUCCACGCCAUCCAAAAAGUCUACCCAGUUCUCUCAUCUUGAUGGAGAAACUCGAUUAUACUUGAGGAUGGAAGCUGGAUCGGGAUGUAUUUUUACAAGAAGAGGAUUGACAGAAUGUCUGAUCUUCCAUGCCUAACUUCUCCGUCUGUUUUAAAAUCAAGAAAACUCAGUAUAAGAUCCUUAGCAGGUGGUGCAUGACUAAACAAAGCUUCAUUUAAUUUAUUCAGAUUAUAUUUAGCUAUGUUGGAAGAGGAUGGGCCAAAUAGGUUCCUUUUCACACCUUUGAUAGAAGGUUCAGCAGUUAUAUAGGGACAAAGGGAGCUGCAAUAUACUGAGUCAGACCACUGGUCCAUCUAUCUCAGUAUUGCCUAUUGUUAAUAGUACUAGUCCUGGGGAAUUGCAAACACCCCUGAUUACUUUUGGGGCUUGUGUGUGGGGAACUAGCCACACUGACCCACCUCAGACUAAAUUUGUCUUUGGUCUCUGAAAGAACUGACAGAGAGUGUGUAGUUCAGAAAUGGAAUCAGGUUUAUUUUAGGGGUACAAUAAAUGAAACAUGACUAAUAGGCAAUACAAUAUUCAACAAGCAAAACUAACAAGACUCACAAAGAGGCAAUUUGGCUUGUGCUUCCACUCAAGUCCACUCAAGGCUGACCAGAGAAACAGUCUUAGGGAACAGCUUUGGAUUUUAGGGGGUGCGAGAGGGAGAGGGAGAGAAAGGAGGAGAGCAAGAAGUUUUGGAACACAGAAUAGUAAUACCUAAGUCCAUCCGGUGGGGUGUGUGGACCCUUGUAGCUCAACUGAUGUCUUUCCUCCAGGGCAGGCAGGAAGGCAAAAGGCAAGAGUCGGGACCCAAGAGCCAAAUGAGGAGCCAGGAGCCAGAAAGAAUCCAAAGGGAAUCUGGUCUCAGGAGACAAGUGUCUGGCUGCAGUCAAGUGUGCUGAGCAGUUCGGGCCUGACAACAGAGCUGAUCUGGAAGUGACGAGUGGAACAGCAACAAGAGUUUGCACAAAUCAAAAUGGUGUAGCUAAUGCGCAAAUGUACAAACACACAACUGGUGAAUCCAAUGGAGAGACACACUGGUUGGUUGUGUCUUGACUAGAAAUAAACAGCAUCUUGCCUUGAGGUGGCAUGCUGGCCACAGCUUUCUGUUGACAAAGGCGACAACAGGGAAAGGAGUGCAUCCUUGUUCUGUUCAACUUUGCUGGGUGUGCUUCUACCAGCAUGAUGAGGUGAAUAGGUCAAGGAACCUGCGUAGGGUGAAAUGAAAUGGACACAUCAGAGCUUAUCUUGUGUCUUCAGGAGACCUUGGGAGUGUCUUAGGAAUGUUUUAACACACUUGCUUCCCAAGCCCCGAGCCAGCCAUUAGUGCUCUGUUAGAGAAGGAGAUGAGCUUGUUACCCCUUAUCUAUCCCUUCCUGUGAAGAUAAUAGGAUUGAACUGAUCUGAUGUGGCAACAUAGCGGGAGAGUAUUUGGUUAGUUCUGUAAAAGAAUAGUGCUUAAUAGACUCAUGUCUACUCUAGCUUUCUCCUGAAAACUAAUCAGGGAGGUGAGCACAGGGAUCACCCCAAAACAGGUGUAGGGGUGCUCCUGGGACCCCCAAACAAGCUAUUUUGGUAACACUAUACAGACUGGCAGCAGGGUCUCCAAGGUUGCAGGCAGGAGUCUCUCUCAGACCUAUCUUGGAGAUGCCACGGAGGGAACUUUGAGGAACCUUCUGCAUGCAAGCAUGCAGAUGCUCUUUCCAGAGUGGCCACAUUGGGGAACCUAGUUCUGAAACCCGGUGGCUGGUUUUGUCAGCAGAGAUUGUAUGUUAAACCAAGCAAUAUGUCUAAGUCCAUAUUUUUACACUUUUGUGCAAAAAAUGAUCCCAUUUACCAUUAUAAAUCACUGCUGCAACACCUUUAUAAAGCUGCCAAGAAGUGAAUUGCUAGUCUGUGGGAAACAGCCCAAUAACCCAGCAACAAUCAAUGGGUGGAGAAGAUCUGGGGAAUUUAAGAUUACAUACAAGCUCGAUACAUAACUUGUAACGUAUACAACAAGUUAUGCAGGCUAGUAGGAACCCAACUCUGAAUACCAAUACAAUGGCAAUCUAGUCCCCCUUUGUUAUUGGUGGCUCUCCUCUGAAGUGAAGUUUACAACAUACGGUACAAUUCUGAAUCUUUCUAAUCUAUAAUAGUUAGUUUAAUUCUCCUGUUCGCUUCCUUCUCUCCCAGCCUGCAGACCUCAGAUGUUGGAUAUUAUUUUAAUGAAGAAAAAAAAAUCUUAUUGAGCAGUCAUAAUAUUUGUGUUUGUUAUUUUUCUAUAUUAAGGGCAUUUUAAAUUGCAUAUUUUCUUUUUAGUGAUAAUCUUUUAUCUUGUUUUUUUAGAAAAAGACAAUUUGUUUAAUUCAGUUCGUCUGCUGUAUAUUUUGAAGAAUUUGUUGGUUGUUUGAUUUGAAUGUUUGUUUAUGUGAAAUAAAGCCCUGCUUCCCAAUGACCUACAGAUACCAAAUGUUGCAUACACAAUCCUGCCACUGAAAUUAGCUGAAUGCACUACCUUUUUAGACUGGAAUAUACUCAGUGAAUGUUUAUUUUUUAUUUUUAAAGAAGAAAUUCUGAAUGUAAUCAUAUUUUAACUGUUGUUCUCAACAUAAUUUUAAUACUCAAUAAUCAAUAUCAAUAAUUCCAAAAGAAGAUCUUUCACAUUCAAAUUUACUGUA
Long non-coding RNA from Hemicordylus capensis (graceful crag lizard), 3173 nucleotides. RefSeq lists it as uncharacterized. Lineage: Eukaryota; Metazoa; Chordata; Lepidosauria; Squamata; Cordylidae. The record is from RefSeq and is a predicted model, not a curated record. The transcript is spliced from 4 exons.